UCAAAGGAAUUGACGGGGGCCCGCACAAGCGGUUGGUUGCAUGUGGUUUAAUUCGACGCAACGCGAGGAACCUUACCUAGGCUUGACAUGUGGUGAGUAGCGAACCGAAAGGGGAGACGACCCGUCAAAUCGGGCCAUCACACAGGUGCUGCAUGGCUGUCGUCAGCUCGUGCCGUGAGGUGUUGGGUUCAGUCCCGCAAACGAGCGCAACCCUCGCCCUUUGGUUGCCAUCGGGUAAAGCCGGGCACUCUAAGGGGACUGCCAGUCGACAAGUUGGAGGAAGGAGAGGAUGACGUCAAGUCAUCAUGGCCUUUAUGCCUAGGGCCCACACACGUGCAACAAUGGCCGGUACAGACGGUAGGC
Molecule: ribosomal RNA, 363 nt
Filed under: uncultured bacterium
Lineage: Bacteria
Description: bacterial SSU rRNA
Rfam family: Bacterial small subunit ribosomal RNA
Source: RNAcentral